CAGGGCUUGACAUGUCUGGAACCUUUAGGAAACUAGAGGGUGCCCGCAAGGGAGCCAGAACACAGGUGGUGCAUGGCUGCCGUCAGCUCGUGUCGUGAGAUGUUGGGUUAAGUCCCGCAACGAGCGCAACCCCCGUUGUUAGUUGCCAUCAAGUAAAGUUGGGCACUCUAGCGAGACUGCCGGUGACAAACCGGAGGAAGGUGGGGACGACGUCAAGUCAUCAUGCCCCUUAUGCCCUGGGCUACACACGUGUUACAAUCCACGGGACAGUACGAUGCAAUCUCGCGAGAGGGAGCGAACCGUCAAACCCGUGGUCAGUUCAGAUCGCAGGCUGCAACUCGCCUGCGUGAAGUCGGAAUCGCUAGUAACCGCCGAUCAGCACGCGGCGGUGAAUACGUUCCC
RNAcentral lists this ribosomal RNA (402 nucleotides) under uncultured bacterium. RNAcentral's name for it is "bacterial SSU rRNA". It matches the Rfam family "Bacterial small subunit ribosomal RNA", at positions 975 to 1375 of the family's 1533-position model. The record is from RNAcentral.